AUAACUGUGGGAGAAUAGUAAGCAUUGGACACAAAAUGGUUUAGGCAAAUAAUGAUGAACAAAAAUGGUCAGUCUGUGUUCCUGCUGACCCAGCACAGUGGGGACGCUGUGUAGGACAUGACCUUUGGGGGAAAGGACACAAGAACUCAGCGUGGGGGAUCCAGAAAAGAAGUCGCACGUAUUGAAGCCAGUAACGCCAAGCCAGUGAAUUCUCCUUGACGAGAAAGACCCACUUACUCUGCAGAAGAGAUAUAUGACAGCUGACAAUCCCUGGAGGAGAAUCUUUCUACUAAAUUGUAACUCCAGGUUGAAGAACUUCUACUUAUAGGCAUCUAUUCAACGAAGACGAAUCCUGGAAUGGGGAUGGAAAUGAUGGCUCAUGUCUUAGCAAACUACCAAACUGAUCCGAGAGGACAGGGAAGUCAGUGUGGGCGGCUCUAAGGAGCCUCCCUCUCUACAGCUGCGGCUCAGAGGAUUACGGCGCUUCAUCCACAAGGCAACAUUGCACAAGUAGCUUUUGAACAAAAGUCAUGGAUACUAUUAAUGAUAUGUUCCCACACACAUUUAGUGUCGUCUCAAAAUUCACGCUGUCAACUGUCUCUAGGAAUCAUUUCCAUCUGAGAACAGACCACACAAAGACACAGUGAAACUCAGUUUCUGCAGAAUUUGAUUUCAUUUGAGUUACUGGGGAACAAAGCAAUUAGACAAUGAAUAAUAGCUCAAGACAGGCUGAAGCUGAAGAUUUCUGCAAAAGAAUGAAGAGGAAACGUUUUGAUCCUGAGCAGAUGUUCUCCCUAGAUUGCUUCACCUGAGGUUGAUUGACUUUUGGAAACGAGAUUUGUUCCCAGUGCUUUGUGAGUCUCUUGUUGGAAGGACUGUCUUUAAAUUAAAGCAAUUAGAGUUACUUUAUAAGAUUUACCCAAAUAUAAGAGCUGAAGAGAAUAAUUCAAAUUGAUCAGAAGAAAAUACUCAAUUACUGACAAAUGUCAAUUACAUCAAUAGCCUAGGCUGCUCUUGAACUCCUGGGCUCAAACGAUCCUCCCCUGUCGGCCUCCCAAAGUGCUGGGAUUACAAGCUUGAACCACCAUGCCCAGCCUCAGAAAUUUUUUAAAUGACAGCUCAUACAGUUUUCUUUUAUAAAGGAGGAGAAAAUGUGUAAUUGUAAGCAGCUGAACUAAAAUAUCUCUGUGACAUUUUGCUGGUGACUCCAGCCCUGUGAGAUCUGAGUGGCUCAGGAAUCAAAUUCUCCCACAAACCUGAGGAAGCCUUUUAUUCUUAAUGCCAACAGGAUGCCCCAUGCCCAGAAUGUCAAAUCUGAACACCAAUGGAAUGCAUUUUAUAAACAAAUUGAAAAAGGACAAUCUUUAACAGAAUUGUUGUUCUCUAGGCAGAUUAGUUGUGCUUCAAAUACAAAAUGAAAUAUUAGAGAACAAAAUUAUUUUUAAACAGCUAAUACUAGUAGAAAAUAAAAGGCUGAAAAGUGCUAUAAUGUGUAAAAGGACUAAAA
This 1507-nucleotide long non-coding RNA is filed under the name Homo sapiens (human). RNAcentral's name for it is "long intergenic non-protein coding RNA 2436". Lineage: Eukaryota; Metazoa; Chordata; Mammalia; Primates; Hominidae. The record is from RNAcentral.